RNAcentral lists this ribosomal RNA (467 nucleotides) under uncultured bacterium. Its description in RNAcentral is "partial 16S ribosomal RNA". It matches the Rfam family "Bacterial small subunit ribosomal RNA", at positions 28 to 506 of the family's 1533-position model. The record is from RNAcentral.
GACGAACGCUGGCGGCGUGCUUAACACAUGCAAGUCGAACGGAAAGGCCCUGCUUUUGUGGGGUGCUCGAGUGGCGAACGGGUGAGUAACACGUGAGUAACCUGCCCUUGACUUUGGGAUAACUUCAGGAAACUGGGGCUAAUACCGGAUAGGAGCUCCUGCUGCAUGGUGGGGGUUGGAAGGUUUCGGCGGUUGGGGAUGGACUCGCGGCUUAUCAGCUUGUUGGUGGGGUAGUGGCUUACCAAGGCUUUGACGGGUAGCCGGCCUGAGGGGGUGACCGGCCAAAUGGGGAAUGAGAUACGGCCAAGACCCCUAGGGGAGGCAGGAGUGGGGAAAUUUGCAAAAGGGGCGGAAGCCUGAUGCAGCAACGCGGGGGGGGGGAUGAGGGCCUUGGGGUUGAAAACCGCUUUGGCCGGGAAGGAAGGGGGGGGGAGGGAAAGGGGAAAAAAAGCAACGGAUAAAUACGU